This 1197-nucleotide ribosomal RNA is filed under the name Hadroplontus ancora. Its description in RNAcentral is "partial 16S ribosomal RNA". The stretch from base 1043 to 1197 matches the Rfam family "Archaeal large subunit ribosomal RNA", at positions 2544 to 2698 of the family's 2987-position model. Lineage: Eukaryota; Metazoa; Arthropoda; Insecta; Coleoptera; Curculionidae. The record is from RNAcentral.
UAACAAAAAUUUUAUUAUUUAUAUUAAAUUUUAUUGGGUUAAAAAAAGUAAUUUUAUUUUUAUUAAUAGGUAUGAAUAAAUUAAUUUAAUAAUAGCUUAUUUGUAUUGAAAAAGAUUAAUUUUAAUUAAAAAAAAGAAUAAUUUAAUUUUAGUACCUUGUGUAUCAGGGUUUAUUAAUUAAAAUUUAUAAAGUUUAAAUUUCUCGAACUUAAAAGAUCUAUAUUUGUAUAAUUGCUAUUGUUAAAUAAAUAUUAUUAAUAUAAAUAUUGAAGUGAAAUAUUAUUCGAUUUUAAAUAUAUCUAGUUUUUAAAGAAAAAAAUUUAAUUUUAUUUUUAUUUAAUUAUUAAUUUAAAUUAUUAAAUUAAUACUAAUAAAAUUUUAUACUUUAGGGGAUGAGCUUUAAAGUAAACAAAUAAAAAUUAUUAUUUUAGAAUUUAAUAAGUAGGAUUAUAAGUUUUUAUCUUUAUUAGUGUUUUAUAACUAUUUAAUUUUUAACUAUUAUUUAUAUAGAUUUUAUUUUGUUUAUUUAAAUUUAAAUUUUAAUUUUAAAAAUUUAGUAAUAAUGGUAAAAUUAGUAUAAUUAAUUUGUUUUGUUAAACUUAAAAUUUUAGGUUUUAUAAAGGAAUUCGGCAAAUAUAUUUUUCACCUGUUUAUCAAAAACAUGUCCUUUUGAUUUUAAUUUAAGGUCUAGCCUGCUCAAUGAAUUUUAAAUAGCCGCAGUAUCUUAACUGUGCAAAGGUAGCAUAAUCAUUAGUUUUUUAAUUGGAAGCUGGAAUGAAAGGUUGAAUGAGAAAAUUUCUGUCUCUGUAAGAAUUUUAUAGAAUUUUAUUUUUAAGUCAAAAAGCUUAAAUGUGUAUAAAAGACGAGAAGACCCUAUAGAGUUUAAUAUUUUAGAGUUAUAUCUUUUUUAGAAUUUUAAAAUUUAUGAGUAAAAAAUAUUUAAUUGGGGUGAUUGGAAAAUUGAAUAAACUUUUCUUUAUAAAAUCAUUUAUUUAUGAAAAUAUGAUCCUUUUAAAAGAUUAUAAGAUUAAAUUACCUUAGGGAUAACAGCGUAAUUUUUUUUGAGAGUUCAAAUCGAAAAAAGGGAUUGCGACCUCGAUGUUGGAUUAAAAUUAAUUUUUGGUGUAGAAGCUAAAUAAAUUAGGUCUGUUCGACCUUUAAAAUUUUACAUGAUCUGAGUUCAAACCGGUGUAAGCC